GAUGAACGCUGGCGGCGUGCCUAAUACAUGCAAGUCGAGCGAACAGACGAGGAGCUUGCUCCUCUGACGUUAGCGGCGGACGGGUGAGUAACACGUGGAUAACCUACCUAUAAGACUGGGAUAACUUCGGGAAACCGGAGCUAAUACCGGAUAAUAUAUUGAACCGCAUGGUUCAAUAGUGAAAGACGGUUUUGCUGUCACUUAUAGAUGGAUCCGCGCCGCAUUAGCUAGUUGGUAAGGUAACGGCUUACCAAGGCAACGAUGCGUAGCCGACCUGAGAGGGUGAUCGGCCACACUGGAACUGAGACACGGUCCAGACUCCUACGUGAGGCAGCAGUAGGGAAUCUUACGCAAUGGGCGAAAGCCUGACGGAGCAACGCCGCGUGAGUGAUGAAGGUCUUCGGAUCGUAAAACUCUGUUAUUAGGGAAGAACAAAUGUGUAAGUAACUAUGCACGUCUUGACGGUACCUAAUCAGAAAGCCACGGCUAACUACGUG
Molecule: ribosomal RNA, 497 nt
Filed under: uncultured bacterium
Lineage: Bacteria
Description: partial 16S ribosomal RNA
Rfam family: Bacterial small subunit ribosomal RNA
Source: RNAcentral